CGCCCGCAGCACACACGCGGGCAGCAUAUUAUUUUAGAGGUCAUCCGUCUUUCCUUCAAGUUGAAGAGACAUGACCACCGCCACGAGUGUCUCGGUAAGGCCGACGACCGCCAGCGGAGUGCUGUGUAACAGUUUUCCAACGGCCGCAACCAUCUCUGUGGCCAGCACGAAGACACAUACGCACCCCCUUCCUGAGGUCUUGCGCGGCAAGCGGUCCGCGGAGAGUCUCUCUUGGGUGACCGAGCUUUACGGGCAUGAGGCGUCACUGCCGGCCGUGUUCGCCUCGGUAGCCGCCGAUGGAACCCGAAAGUCGAUCAAGAAGGCGUCGCCGCUUGCCAACACCGCCAAUCAAUCAUUCCUCGCCUCCUCCGGGCAGCUGGGGACGCUGCCAUCCUUGUCGGCGCUGCACAAUCAGAACCAGCGUGUGCCACACAUGCGGUCGCUCACGUCGGCGGAACUGUCCGGCGCCGUUGGUGGCGGGGCGAGCUCCAGUGCGCAGGUGCUCAGUGAUGUCUCUGCAGCGUCGUUCAGCGCGACAGUGGCGGCGGCAGCGACCAAUGUGACGUCGUUUUAUCGUCACCGCAAGAACGUCUCGUGGCGUUGCAUGCUGUGCGGUUACCACGUGCUAGCGAUGGAUCAGGAUGGCGCUCCGCUACCCUUCUCGGCCUCCGCGUUUGGCAACGUUCUCCCGAUGACGUGUCCGCGUUGCAAGAUGAGCCACACAUCGUGGCAGCCGUCAACGCCGUUCAGCGAGGAAGGCAAUCACAUGAACCUGCCGACAACGCUCUCCAAUCGCUACCUUGUGCCGCUUCCCGGUCAGCAGCCGCUGCGCGCGAAGGACGCGGAGGCAACAGGCGCGGCUGGACAGUCCGGCGCCGCAGUUGAAACGGCGUCUUCGGUGGUGGCAGGCAGUCGCUCAGCCCAGCGCGUAGGUUUUGUGUCCGCCCUUGCAACUCAGCAGCGCAGCAUCCCGGCCAUCUCCGCUGUCUCCUCGGUGCAGCGUCGUGCCUACUACUGCGGCCGCUGCGGCCGUCGCCUGCUCCGCAUGGACGUGAAUGGAGAACUCGUGGAUAUGGAUCGCGACAAGGACGGCCAAGUCCUUCCCAUAACGUGCCCUGGCUGUAUGGAGAGCCACAGCGACUGGGUUCUGAAGCCGUACGCCGUGAACCGAUGAAGGCGUGCGCCGCUCUGCCAGCACCCUCGUGAGCGGAGUCCGCCUGUGUGCCUCUGUUAUCUUACUGUGGAACUCAACCCUGUACAUAGUCAUGCGGUUGUGGAGACGCUGAAAGAGGUGGGGGUGGGGAGAGGCUGUGGCCGAGUGGCGUGCCCGUCCCGCGCGCACACUGCCCCUCGCUGCCCCCUACAUCUCCCCGCUCUGCUCUUCACCUUUCGCCGCCCUCUGGUUGAUCGCUCUCUGGCACGUGUACGUGUGUGUGCCCCCUCCUCUCCCUCUAUGGUUCUCUGCCAUGCCAUGUUCAACGGUGCACAUACGAAGAUGUGCACGCGUCGUCUAGAUGUGUCGGGUAACUCUCAUGCAGACGCCGUUCAGGCACACCUGGCUCGCGCGCUUGCGUGCGCAGGCGACCACCUCCCACCCUCCUCACGGUUGCGUCCAGCGAACGGCGUAGCCUGAUUCGACAAUCUCGCACACAGACAGAGAGGGGGGAGAACAGGACAUUCGUGAGUGUCGUCCAUGCUGCACCCCCGCACGCACGCACCCUCUCUCUCCAACAGUGCUCUCUCAUGGCUCCCACCCUCCCUUGCUAGCCGCAGCCGUCGAGACGGCCACCGUGAGUCUUUAGUGUGCCGCUCCGUCCGUGCGUGCCGUGGUGAGGGUGCAGCGGGCUGGCGGCCUUUGUGCUGCUGCCCUUGCUUUGGCCUCCUCAUGAUGUCUCCCCCUCUGGUGACAGGAGGGCACACAUACACACACCUCUCAGAGCGUGGUGUCUCAGGGCCCUGUGCGACUCUCCCCGCCCCCCACUCUCUGUGUUAGGGAGGCCAAACAGCCCCCCCCCUUCUACCUCUGCCAAUGCAGAACCCACCUCUGGCGGUGCGUCGGGACGGCCGACGACAGUGAACACGUCUGCGCCAUCCAUACGAUGGGCAACACGUGUCAGGGUGACUCGAGCGUAUGCCUCACACGGCCCUCACACGGCCCACUGAUGUGUGGGGAGGAGCCUGCGUGCCACCCCGAGGGAGGGGGGAGGGGGGAUGCACCAGGCGUGGCGACCGGCAUGAUUGGGGGGCGGCUGUGUGGGGUGGGGGAGUAGAGCUUGAGACAGGGUCGGUCGUGGGGCGUGGUGUGGCGCUCAGCGCGUGCUGCGCCGCAGAGAAAUAAACACGCGCGCACACACACACACAUGUUAAAGAGCAAACAACGAAAGACUUUGUCACCUUCUUCACUUGCCGUGCCGCCUCCUCUCAUCCGGCAGUGGCGCGCGCGCCUUUCUCUCAAGUAGCGCAUGUAUGCAGGCAUACAGUCGA
RNAcentral lists this unclassified non-coding RNA (2484 nucleotides) under Leishmania donovani. RNAcentral describes it as "gene:LdHU3.09.1590(CDS-product:hypothetical_prote in_conserved)". Lineage: Eukaryota; Euglenozoa; Kinetoplastea; Trypanosomatida; Trypanosomatidae. The record is from RNAcentral.